Molecule: long non-coding RNA, 805 nt
Filed under: Pongo abelii (Sumatran orangutan)
Lineage: Eukaryota; Metazoa; Chordata; Mammalia; Primates; Hominidae
Description: lincRNA
Source: RNAcentral
GUCUUUUCUGGCAGAUUACUUCUGUGAGCAACUGGGUCUCUCAGCUCUUUGGGAGCACCCUGGGAAACAGUGUGGCUACGACUUGGAGCUGCUCACCAGUUCCAGUCAUUCUGUGGUUGAGAGCUGCUCCCUAUGGAUGUUAAUUCUUCUCCAUUUUAGAUUUUCCACAGGUGUGGGCCCCAUUAGCUCUGGCCACCUGAGAAAGCCCUCAGGCAAAGAGUCACAGGUGAAAGCCAGCAGUUAGAGGUUCACAGAAAUGAGUGCAGAAGCAUCUUCAGUUGGAGAGCCAUUGCCUCUUGCUGUGCAAUAUUUGGGAAUCUUCAGAAACCAUGCAGAAUAACCUGCUAAAGGGUUUUAUUUUGUCACUCAAGCUGGAAUGCAGUGGUGUGAACAUUGCUUCCUGCAGCUUCAGUCUCCUGAGGUCAAUCUUCUCACCUCAGCCUCGCAAGCAGCUAGGACUACAGGCAUGUGCCACCAUGCCCCACUAAUUUUUUAAUUUUUCUUUUGUGGAGAUGCAGUCUUGUUAUCUUGAACAGGCUUGUUAUCUUGUUAUCUUGUUAUAUUGAACAGGUUUGUUAUCUUGAACUCUUGGAGUCAAGCAAUCCUUCUGCCUCAGACUCUCAAAGUGCUGGGAUUACAGGCAUGAGCCACCACAUUCAGCCAGGAAAAGUUUUUGUACAUUUAAAAAAUUACAGGAUAUUUGUGUAUAUAGCUUUGCUGGUUUGACUUCCUAGAAUAGCUCCCAGGAACACAAAGUACUUAAUUGAUUAGCAUAAAAUGAUUAUGUCAUACUCACAUGUUGGUU